GAGGAAAUCAACAAAAGUAGAAUUACCACAUGUCAAUUACUCUGAAGAAGAAGUGCCACCCUACAUAGAGUACCUUAUAUGUAGGGAACACAGAUUAAGGUAUCAAAAGAAACAUCUAUUUGUUUAAGUUGUUUUUAAAAAAAAUCAAGGUUAUAGAUUUGAUAUUGAAAAGAAUCUGUUCAAGAUUGAAAAUUUUUGCUCCUUCCAUUAUGAUAAAACUGGUUGAUCGUUGUAUGUUUUACGGCCAUGUAUUAAGGGAUUAAAAAUUGAUUUUAUUAUAAGAAAUUAGAAACUAGUUUUUAUGACAUCAUACUUUCAUUGUAUUAUGCCUUAUUAUAAAACAUGUCUGUAUGUGUUGUUUUUUUCAUAUUCCAAAGUUUAAAUCCGUUUUGUUUUCUUUAGUUUAGAUGGUUUUGCUUUCAGUUUAUCUUGACGUCAGAGUCACAAAUUUGAAAAAAGUUUGAAUUGAACCACUGAUGGUAAUUCAUUGAUAUUUUUUUUUACAUGUUUGAUAAUUAUUGGCAAUUUUCUAUUUCUAUGGAAAUUAUGUGAACCCGUUUCCACAGUCAUGGCCUUUGACAUAAACAUUUGACAUAGUUAACUUCGUACACAAAAUACCUGACAACAUAUACAUUUCAAUACUGGCACCAUUCUUUUUAUAGGAUUAAAUAAAGGCAACAGUAGUAUACCGCUGUCCAAAACUCAUAAAUCCAUGGACAAAAAAACAAAAUCGGGGUAACAAACCAAAACUGAGGGAAACGCAUUGAAUAUAAGAGGAGAACAACGACACAACACCGAAACGCAACACACACAGAAACGGACCAAUUAAACACAUUUUUAAAGGAGUUGAUUGGUGUUUAAACUCGACUAAUUCACUCACAAACAAAUAAAAGUCCAACAUACUUUUAUGAUAUUUUUGUGAGUGACUUGGUCCAGUUUAUAAACCAAUAAAUACCUUUAAAAAGGCGUUCAAUCCUUAUAAUUCUUUAGAAAUGGUGAUAAGGAAUUGGUUUUCACAAAUUCGUAACCUGUAUCACACGUAAAUUGUAUAUUUGUAUCAUUGAAUUAUCCUGUCUCAUGAAUAUACCUGUUGGUAAGGGCCAAAAUGUGUACCCUCGGAAAUUUCAUAUCUGGAUAUAAAUAAAAAGCAAAAACUCUUGUUAUCAUUGAAAUGAACGUUAUGUGUUUAUUUUUUAAUUGAAUGAUAAACGCGAAAUCGAAAGACAUUUUGUUAACGUCGAGCUGGAUUAUGUCGUUUUCGCCGUAUUCUUCUUUACAUUGGUUACGAAAAGAGGUCUCGAUCAACAUCGUCUAUCAACAACCGGAAGUCCUAUCGGCCAUACAUAUCAUCGUAAUCCCUAAUAUGCAAAUCAUAUAACACUUAUAUAAGGAAUAACUUUUUUGUAUUUUGUAGGGUUUAUUGUAUUUGUUUGUUUUUUGGUUGUUGUUGUGGAGGGGGAAAGGGGGUAUCUUUGAAUAUCUAUUCAUGCUGUUUUAUCUUUUUUCUAUUCUUUAUAUUUGUUGACCAUUGUUAACCAUUUUUAAUAUUUUGUCUAUCACUCUCAAUUCUUUCUGUUUUUUUGCCUAUUAUUCUCUAUUUUCUAUAUUGUUGCCUAUUUUCUAUAUUAUUUAUUAUUAAACAUCCCAUUAUCUCUAUUCUUUCUUGUGUCUGCCUAUUUUUGUCUGUUUUUUUUUUUGUACCCAAUAUCCUGAAAUCUAUAACUCAUGCAUUCCUACUUUAAAGCAACUCUUUUUUUUGUAAUUGAUUGGUAAUGUCCAUAAAUUUUCCUAGCAGGUGUGAUAAGAUUGACAGCCUAGCACGACAGGUUGAUAAAGGUUCAGGUUCAGAACACAGCGUUUUGAAAAAAGUAAGAUCAAUGUGAGAACUACGUGAAUAUGUUUGAGUAUGCUUAUCUUGAUUAUCACUUCAUCGGAUUGCAAGUUAGGACAUAAUUUUAAAUGAAAUGCAUAAUAUUCAAUCAUCAAACACUAUUUUAUGUAGUUAUCACCACUUUUUCACCUGUAAAUCGCCCUUAAAUGAAACAUUAAAUAGUUUUAGGGUUGAACCGAUUUAUUUCGUGUCUAUUAAAUAUUUAUAUCGUUCCUAUGUGAUUAACUGUUGUUAAAUACAGAAAUGUUUGCUGUUGAAGUAAUCAAAAUAAAAGUACAAUUUCAUUUUGUUACACAUUGUCAAGAAUCAGUCCGGUCGACAUUGCGCAUGCGUGAAUUCAGAUACCCUACAUGGAGACAAUCGUUAUAUAGAAGUUAUAUGGAAAAUAAUCUUUAUAAGACGAUAUUCAAUUUUCUUCUUGGUUGUUUUCUUAGCUGUUGUGAUCACCAGAAUCCUUAAUGUGUCUUCUUUUUAAUGAUAUAAAUUAUUUUAAAAUAAUGUUUAAACUUCAUGCAACAAAUUUAGUUUUUCAUACAGUGAUGUCAAAUGGCUUACAUUUGCCGUUAUUCUUACAGAAAAUGCCAUUUUUAGGGAAAGUGGUCAGCUUUGAAAAAAUAAAUAAAAUACUUUUACUGAUGACAUUCCUUAGCUGUUGUGACCAAGAGAAAGAUGAAAAGUUAUAGUUUAAUGUGGUGUAGUUUAUUUUUAAAUUGGUUAUUGUCUCCUUGCACCAAAUUUGAUUUAAAAGUAGGCGAUUUUAAGUUUUUAUUCUAUCAAUUUCUAUUUGACAACAGGAUACAUUGUUUGUGUAAACAGAUAGUAGUAGCCUGUUACACAAUCUUGUUUAUACAGUCAUGCUGAGACAUAAUAAUUCAUGUGAUCAUGGAAGUAAUAUCCAAACGACGUUUUGUAUUAACUUGGUUUAGGGCUGAAGGAAUUACAAAACAAUAAAUAAUAUGAAAUUCACGUUUUUAUUAUUGAAGUUAAUUAUAUAUUCAAAGUUUUGUUUUUGUUUUGUUAUCACGUGCUUAUAACCGAUAUUAAAUAAAGUAUGAGAAUAUGCAAUCGUAAUCUAAAAGUUAACGCAUUGUAUUAAAUAGAUGCACGUUCAACUGAGUGUUUUAUCAAUACACAAUCACAUUUUUUUUGUAAUUAAUGGGAUUAAAUAGUUUCUAUUCAUAUUUGGUAAAAAAAAAAAAAGAGUUCAGCAGUAGCUGUAUGAUGGCAGAUUGUCAAUGAGACAACUCCCCAGUGACUAGUUGCAUUUUAACUGGUCCUUUUUGUCUCUUUUCGUAACAAUACUUGUAUAACCUUUUUAAGGCUAUUUUCUCACGAUUUGAAUACACAAUCAUAAAGGAGAACAAUUCCAUUUCGUCGCACUUUAACAGUGCAUGCAUAAAACAGCAUAUAUAAUACACCACUGAAUUCGACCACUUGAUACGGCAAGUUAAAAUCAGAUAAUAGAUUUUUUCUUCAAAACCAAGUUUCUGUUAUUAAUUUCUUCAACUAAAUAUACGAAUAAUGUGUGCGCACAAUACAUUAGAAAGUUAACCCCUUUUAAGACACGUUUUACCAUAUGAUGAUAUAAAUUUACAUUCGCCGUCAAAAAGAAACUUGUUGAUGACUAAAAUAAUCGAAACUAACAUAUAUAUCUAAAAUACAACAGUAUUCUUGUAUAAAAUGAAAAUAAACUGCUGUUUAUAGAAUUGCCUUGUCAUUUUAUUUUAUCCCAAGCUCUUCAACUGAAUUAAAAUUCAUUGAACCGAAACAAUAUUAAAAAAAGUCAAUAAUUUCUUCACAAAACGAUAAAGAUUGUUAGCUUUGAACAGGUACUUGUAUGACAAUUAACAUGUCAGCUUCAGGCUAUAUACCUGUGGAUACUCGAGGUGGAUAUAUGGUGGAAACGAUGCUGGAAUCUUGUAUUAUUUUAUUAAAAACAGGAAAGGGUCAACAAAUAUGACAUUUCCGAGAUUUUAUUUUCAGACAUGAUUUAAGUGUGUUAAUUGUCAUAACGUAGAUACAAACAAAAUGUAGAAUCUGCUUUUGAAAUGACGCUUUCUCACUAUCUUCGUGCAACCGUAUAAGUUACUGUAUGGCUUUUAUCAAUUAUCUUAACCCAUAUCGUAUAGUAGCUUUAUAACUUCAAUAGAAUUGAGAAUGGAAACGGGAAAUGAGUUAUAAAAAGAGGCAACAACCCGACAAAAGAGCAGAAAACAACCCAUAGUCACCAAUGGGUCUUUAACGCAAAAGGGGGGGGGGAUAUUCAAUACAAUAAUGUUAUAACUAUAUAUAAUUUAGCGAAAAGAACGUCACACAAAACUCCGUAACAUAUAAAAAAAAAUUAAAAAAAACACACACACACAUAAGACUAACAAAAUUUCUGUGUCAUAUUUUCUUGUGAUGUCAUAUUUUUUCUCUGACCUUGUGGAUAAGCAACCAAAACUUAAAUCCGCCUCUGAGAAACGACAACCUCAUAAUAACACAUAAUUUGUUACUGACUUUAUAAAACAAAACUAGAAACCGUGGCAUUCGGCGGGGUUAAAAAAAUGUUUGUGAGUGCUCAAAUUUAUCUGUGGUAUAAAAGCACAACACAAGACCAAACUCUUAAAAUUAGUAGGAAAAUGCUUCCCUGUACAUUAUCUACCAGUACACAUCGAACAUACAUAUGAAAACAAAAAAAAUGUGAUACGAUUGCCAAUAAGACAACUGUCCACCAAAGUUCAAACAAAAAAAGUAAAAUCACAAAAAUACUGAACUCCGAGGAAAAUUCAAAACGAAAAGUCCGUAAUCAAAUGGCAAUAUCAAAUGAUAAAACACAUCAAACGAAUGGAUACAUGUAACAACUGUCAUAUUCCUGACUUGGUAUAGGUGGUCGUAUCUAACUAUAGACAACCGUACGGUCUUUCAACAUUGAGGAAAAAACAUACCGUACGUAUAGUCUGAUAUAAAAGGCCCCAACAUUAAAAAAAAUAUGGAAUUAUUUAAUUGAGAAAACUAACGGCCUCAUUUAUAACAAAAGAAUUUACGAAAAACAAAUCAGAACUCGCGGAAUUGUGCUGUUAUCCUCACUCAAAGCAUAGAAGUAAUAUUACUUCCAUGCUCAAAAUGAGUGUACAUUUAAUAAUUAUUAUAACUGUCAAUGAAUUUUAAAAUUGAAUUAAACUCGGACAGUCAUUCCGAAUUUUGAUGGUACCUGUUAACUUAUAUAUAUACACAUAAAAAAAAAAUAAAGACUCGUAAGACAACGACAUUUCGGCCAAUUGUGUUACUUGAACUAAAAUUUCAAAUACAUUUCAGUCAGUUUGAUGAUCAAUCCAUUUUGAAUAAGAAAAUAUAAUUUAUUUAUAUGCAUUUUUCAUUUACCAAUUUGGGUCAAACAUCUUGCGCCGUUUUAAUGUUUCAACUAGGACUAAGAAGCUAAUUCAGUAGUCCCCGGUUUCAACAAAGAUCGGAACUCCGGUCCCUUCAAUUAAGUUUACAAAUUGAACCAAAAAUUAGAAAACAUGAAUCAAAAUUAUUUUAGCGAUAACAUCUGGUAUUGGUUUUCACUGAGGUUAUCUUACAGACCAGCGGGUGUUCAACCCCUUAAAUGUGCGUCUUAUCGCAAUUGUCAAAUUAUCUAGUAACCCCAUGUGGAGCGAGGAUGUAUUAUCGUCCUUGUCGAUACAAAUAAUUGUUAUCAAAUUGAGUAAUCUCCCUUAAACCGGACAGAUUCUUGGCAAUGAGUUGUUAUGAAUUUAUGAUAGAUUUUUUUCGAAUAAAAAGCUUGGUGGAAUAAUCUAAUACUAUUCUGCACAAGUUUUAACCAAUUUUAACUAUUAAAAGGUAAAUAAAUUCAAUACCUCGCAUUUAUUUAAAUCAUUCACAAUUUCAAGUGUAAUAAAUAGUUAGUUAUAAAUCAGUGAGACAAAUAAAAUGUGUUGAAAUAAAUCCUACGGAGCAAAGAUGAUCAUUAACAUGCCAACAACAAAGAUGUUAAACAUUUUUUUGAUGCAUAAUCGGCUUCCUCGAACGAAAUAUAAUCCUGAAACAAGUAACAUUACUAGAAGUACUAUUAAGAGUGACGAGUCAUUUGGAAAAAAACAACGGGUGAAUAAGUACUUGUAAGGCGACAGUAUAUGUAUUUGACGUUGUUCAUAAUUUAAUCUCGUUAAUCGAUUAAGAAGAGAUACAUCUAUGUAACAAACAACAAUUAAACGCGAGAAUUAUAAAAGCAGCAAAGCAUGCAUCAUCCGAUAUUAGAUUUCACAUAAGGGUGAAAUACCAUUGUCGAUAAAAUGUAUUACAAAUCAGACUAUACUGGUAUCUAAAGAUCAUUCGGUGCAUCUCGCUAGUGAGUUUUGAAACGACACAUGGUAACUGUCAACAAAUUCAUGUUGGUGCCGCCAAUAUUUUGAAGUGUCAAUUUCAUGUCUUCAUAAUUAUCAUGAGAGUAUAAAAUAUGCAAUGGUUUUUUUAUUUGGUUUUUUUUUUUGCGUUUUUCACAUGCUUUUUCUAAAUUUAUUUUUUUAGGUAAAAUCCAUUAAGAAAAAAUUUCUAUCAUAUCUACCACAAAGACACGAAAGAGAGAACAAUGAAUAAGAAACUGUUUAUGCGUGAGCUCAAGGAUAUAGAACAUAUUUUAAAUAGCUUCACAGUUAUUGUGAAAGUGACUAUUCUAGAGGGGGCGAAUAUCAGAUGUGGAUAUUUUAGAGUACAUACAAUCUAAGAUUCUUUCAUCUUGCAAUAAAAAAAACAAUUGACUUUUCUACACUUUACACUUGUAUUCCUCAUUCCAAAC
Molecule: long non-coding RNA, 6671 nt
Filed under: Mytilus galloprovincialis (Mediterranean mussel)
Lineage: Eukaryota; Metazoa; Mollusca; Bivalvia; Mytilida; Mytilidae
Source: RNAcentral